GACAUAUCACAGUAAGUCGAUAGU
This 24-nucleotide small RNA is filed under the name Arabidopsis thaliana (thale cress). The record is from RNAcentral. Lineage: Eukaryota; Viridiplantae; Streptophyta; Magnoliopsida; Brassicales; Brassicaceae.